This is a non-coding RNA of Odocoileus virginianus texanus, 1724 nucleotides long. Lineage: Eukaryota; Metazoa; Chordata; Mammalia; Artiodactyla; Cervidae. The record is from RefSeq and is a predicted model, not a curated record.
CAGCCCGGGAGGCGCUGCGCUGACUCUGGGAGAAGGUUCGAGCGGAACGGGCCGUGCUGAGAGCGGAGGCCCCACCGGCGUCGGACUCAGAGCUGCAGAGAAAGUUCCAGCUUCUCCCGGCUUGUUCUAAGGGCUAGCAGUUGGGGCAGAAGAAUGUCGCAUUCCUGAGAAGAGCUGGAAUCUGACGCUGUGGCUUGGACACCCAGGGGAGACCCAGCCUCGGAGGGAACACAGCACAGGGGGAAGAAGGAUGCAGAUGAACUGUAGUGAGAAUGACCCUGUCAUUGAGUCUCCUCCCUGGGCUCGUGUCUCCGAGGAGCAUCACCCCAAGGGGCCUGUUGAAAAGCCAUCAUGUGCGGUUUUUCUCUGAGGCCUGGACAGUUUCCAGCUGGAGCCCAGGAUGCAAGUGGGGAGUAAAUUCCUGGAGGCUGCAGUGCAUCCUGUGCCUUGAGGCUAGGGGAGAUGCAUUCACCGGUCUGUAAAGCCACAUUUUUUCCCAUCAGCCCUAUGGCCUUACAAAUUGAGUCUUUGCCAUGUCUCACUUUCUUUAAUUCAGAAUAUCCCAUUUUGAAUUUUUUGGUGUUUCUUUUGGGUGUGGACUUCCAAAAAGCCCAAAGGAGGAGACUCUUCUGGAAACACGAGGUUGGAAAUGGAAGAAAGAGAAGCAAAUGUUCUCUGUAACCUCCCCAUGAAGGAAGAAACUCUAGUUUCCUGCAUGACAGAUGGGGAUAGUCACCACCAGACUAAGAGCAUAGUACCCAGGGAAACAUGGUACAUUCUAACGUUAAACUUCAGUAGCUUCAAAUUUAAUUAUUCACUUGAUACAAAGGAAACUACUAAUUUUUAAAAAGAAGAAGUAAAAACCUUUGCUCCUUUAAUUGGUCUUUUCUCCUUAUAUGGCUCAGAACCCUUUGGAGUGCUUCAGUGCCUUUGAAGAGGGCAGAGGAAGUCAGGAUGCAGAUGUCAGUCCCACUUCUGUACUGGGUUUCUGGGCCAACCCUUUCCCAGUGUGGUGAUGAGAAAGAGCUGGCAAAGUUUGCUGCUAGUAUGCUCAGCUGUCACUGGGAAGGUGAUCAGUCCAUGAAAUAAAAGAAUGUUUGAAGAAAUGUGCAAUGAGCUACUUUUGCAGUAAAAAAUCAAACCAUCCUCAAAAACAAGGAACCUAUUUUAUAACCCAAGAGGGAGAGAAGCUGUCAGCUUUGAAUUCAUUCUCUCUCAGUGUUUAGGCUGGCCAGGCCUGUGUGUCAAAGUCAGGAUAUUUUAGGUAAGGCCCUGCAGAAAAAGGUGCUCACUUGAGAAAGAAAGAUGUGGCCUCGCUUGGGUCUGUGCCCUGUAGUUCAGGGACUACUUUGUCCAAGCUGCUCCAACUUUCUCUCCCAGUCCUCAGCAGCCUCAAAAGCCCUGCAUAUCUACCCCCAAGAGUUCCAAGUUCCAAGAGUUCUACAGCUUCUAAAAUAAGCUGUAGAACAAAAUAUACAGUACGAUCCAAUUACAGUAUGUACAGAUCUGUGAUAUCAACUACUUGUACAUCCUUGAGCAAAUCAUUUCAACCAUCUGGCCUUCAUUGCUUUCUCAGUUUUAAAAUGAGGAGAUUGCACUUCAUCUUUUCUAAGACUUUCUAGCUGUAGAAGUCUCUGAUUUUAUCCAGGAGCGAAAGAGGAUUCCUGUUUCCCCUAAACUAUGUACCUGCUCUAUACCUGAAUAAAUCAUGCUUCUGUUGAUAA